UACGGAGGGGGUUAGCGUUGUUCGGAAUUACUGGGCGUAAAGCGCGCGUAGGCGGAUCAGAAAGUAGGGGGUGAAAGCCCAGGGCUCAACCCUGGAACUGCCUUCUAAACUCCUGGUCUUGAGUUCGAGAGAGGUGAGUGGAAUUCCGAGUGUAGAAGUGAAAUUCGUAGAUAUUCGGAGGAACACCAGUGGCGAAGGCGACUCACUGGCUCGAUACUGACGCUGAGGUGCGAAAGCGUGGGGAGCAAACAGG
RNAcentral lists this ribosomal RNA (253 nucleotides) under uncultured bacterium. RNAcentral's name for it is "partial 16S ribosomal RNA". It matches the Rfam family "Bacterial small subunit ribosomal RNA", at positions 524 to 776 of the family's 1533-position model. The record is from RNAcentral.